GACGAACGCUGGCGGCGUGCUUAACACAUGCAAGUCGAACGGAAAGGCCCUGCUUUUGUGGGGUGCUCGAGUGGCGAACGGGUGAGUAACACGUGAGUAACCUGCCCUUGACUUUGGGAUAACUUCAGGAAACUGGGGCUAAUACCGGAUAGGAGCUCCUGCUGCAUGGUGGGGGUUGGAAAGUUUCGGCGGUUGCGGGUGGACUCGCGGCUUAUCAGCUUGUUGGUGGGGUAGUGGCUUACCAAGGCUUUGACGGGUAGCCGGCCUGAGAGGGUGACCGGCCACAUUGGGACUGAGAUACGGCCCAGACUCCUACGGGAGGCAGCAGUGGGGAAUAUUGCACAAUGGGCGGAAGCCUGAUGCAGCAACGCCGCGUGCGGGAUGACGGCCUUCGGGUUGUAAACCGCUUUCGCCUGUGACGAAGCGUGAGUGACGGUAAUGGGUAAAGAAGCACCGGCUAACUACGUG
RNAcentral lists this ribosomal RNA (468 nucleotides) under uncultured bacterium. RNAcentral describes it as "partial 16S ribosomal RNA". It matches the Rfam family "Bacterial small subunit ribosomal RNA", at positions 28 to 507 of the family's 1533-position model. The record is from RNAcentral.